GGGAAACGAGAGGAGGGCCAGCCUCAGGUCCCGCAACAAACUGGGGCA
Papio anubis (olive baboon) is the source of this 48-nucleotide non-coding RNA. Lineage: Eukaryota; Metazoa; Chordata; Mammalia; Primates; Cercopithecidae. The record is from Rfam.